RNAcentral lists this ribosomal RNA (672 nucleotides) under Streptomyces olivochromogenes. RNAcentral describes it as "bacterial SSU rRNA". It matches the Rfam family "Bacterial small subunit ribosomal RNA", at positions 88 to 774 of the family's 1533-position model. Lineage: Bacteria; Bacillati; Actinomycetota; Actinomycetes; Kitasatosporales; Streptomycetaceae. The record is from RNAcentral.
UGGAUUAGUGGCGAACGGGUGAGUAACACGUGGGCAAUCUGCCCUUCACUCUGGGACAAGCCCUGGAAACGGGGUCUAAUACCGGAUAACACCUGCCCGGGCAUCUGGGUGGGUUAAAAGCUCCGGCGGUGAAGGAUGAGCCCGCGGCCUAUCAGCUUGUUGGUGAGGUAGUGGCUCACCAAGGCGACGACGGGUAGCCGGCCUGAGAGGGCGACCGGCCACACUGGGACUGAGACACGGCCCAGACUCCUACGGGAGGCAGCAGUGGGGAAUAUUGCACAAUGGGCGAAAGCCUGAUGCAGCGACGCCGCGUGAGGGAUGACGGCCUUCGGGUUGUAAACCUCUUUCAGCAGGGAAGAAGCGAAAGUGACGGUACCUGCAGAAGAAGCGCCGGCUAACUACGUGCCAGCAGCCGCGGUAAUACGUAGGGCGCAAGCGUUGUCCGGAAUUAUUGGGCGUAAAGAGCUCGUAGGCGGCUUGUCACGUCGGGUGUGAAAGCCCGGGGCUUAACCCCGGGUCUGCAUUCGAUACGGGCUAGCUAGAGUGUGGUAGGGGAGAUCGGAAUUCCUGGUGUAGCGGUGAAAUGCGCAGAUAUCAGGAGGAACACCGGUGGCGAAGGCGGAUCUCUGGGCCAUUACUGACGCUGAGGAGCGAAAGCGUGGGGAGCGAACA